This is a long non-coding RNA of Magallana angulata, 717 nucleotides long. RefSeq lists it as uncharacterized. Lineage: Eukaryota; Metazoa; Mollusca; Bivalvia; Ostreida; Ostreidae. The record is from RefSeq and is a predicted model, not a curated record. The transcript is spliced from 5 exons.
UGAUUUAGCUAAAAAUGCAAGUAAACUUUCCAAUAUUGGAAGCACUCAGGCAAAUGAAAACUUCAACAAAAUAGUGGCCUGCAAAAAUCCCAAAGCAUUAUAUUACAGUGGAUCUGAGAGCACAUCCUUUAGAGUAGCAGCUGCUGUUGCACAUAAGAAUAUUGGACAUCUGACAAUUGGAAAGGUUUACGAUACUUUGAUGCUCUCGCCAGGGAUGCACACAAAUGUACAUGAAAGGAGGGUUUCUCGAAAGAGAGAAAAAGAAAAAUUGCGACAAAGCACUGUUGAGUGCAAGAGACGAAGACAUGAACUAAAGAAAUUGAAAUCAAGCCAAAUAUCAACUUCAGAAAUAAAAGAAGGAAAAACCUAUGAAUCAGGUGUUGGAUUGUCUUGUGCUGAUGCUGUAAUAGAAGAAAUCCCAGAUUGAACCCCCUGCUUCCAAACCUGUUUCAGUGCCUACCCAUACAGACUCAAACCUUCUUUAUUUUGACUUGGAAACAACUGGACUAGGUACAUCAGCAGAAAUAACACAGCUUGCUUGCAUAUUUGAAGAAGAAACCUUUAAUAGAUUUUAACAUGUUUAGUGACAUCGUUGAGGAAAAACACACUAUUUGUAAGUAUGUCGAUCAUGUUGGUUUGAAAAGCUUGUGUUUCCAUAGCGUAUCAACUUGAUGUUCAUCAUGUAAGUAUUAUGUGUGGUGUACUGUUUGUGUUCUU